GGCAUGAUGGCCGAGCGGUCUAAGGCGCCAGAAUCAGGUUACAUAAUCAAUCAAUCUGGUCCUUCGGGGCGGGAGUUCGAAUCUCCCUCAUGUCA
RNAcentral lists this transfer RNA (95 nucleotides) under Hygrophoropsis aurantiaca. RNAcentral describes it as "tRNA-Leu". It matches the Rfam family "tRNA". From Rfam's summary of the family: Transfer RNA (tRNA) molecules are approximately 80 nucleotides in length. Their secondary structure includes four short double-helical elements and three loops (D, anti-codon, and T loops). Lineage: Eukaryota; Fungi; Basidiomycota; Agaricomycetes; Boletales; Hygrophoropsidaceae. The record is from RNAcentral.